CCAUUGGAAACUCAACGCUUAAUUUCACUGAGGCAAAAGAUGGAUCUCUCCCAUUUCUGUGGUUACACUCCUCAACCCCAAAACCCCAAAAAAGGAGUUACAAACUCACCUUCCCCUCAUUACAAUAUGUUAAGUAUGUUACAUAUGAUCAACCAAAUUUCAGUAAAUAAAAAUAGAACCCCUCCUACCCCACAUAUUCUAUCCCAAUUCUCAUCUACAAACAUUAAGGUCCAUAGAGAAUUCUUCAGUCUGUAGGUGGAUCUCUCCACACAAGGCUUCCCUUCCCAGAAAAUUGUGCUUUAAGGAUGUACAUAGCAAUGGAGUUGACAGUAAGUACGAAGCUUUGCAUGCAACCAUUUGACCUUGGCUUAGUGUGGUGGAAGUGGAAAUGAAGGUAUAUAGCUAGGCAUCGUUGUUACGCCAGCGCAGGAGCAUGGAGAUGCAAACCCUCAUGAUGUACAGCUUCCCUCUCUGUUGCCUCACCAUCCUCCUCCACUUCUCCAGCUUCUGCCUCAUCAUAUAUAUGUGACAACCCUGCUCCUUAUCUUCAGCAAAAAAGCUCUCUCCAAUCUCCACCCCACUAAAUUCUGUGGAGAUAGCUAGACAACCAUAGAGAAAAGGACAUAUUUAUAGAGAGAGAGAGAGAGAGAGAGUUCCGGCCUUCCUUCCAUUCACUUCACAUCACCUGGGUUCCUUUGUG
Molecule: long non-coding RNA, 700 nt
Filed under: Elaeis guineensis (African oil palm)
Lineage: Eukaryota; Viridiplantae; Streptophyta; Magnoliopsida; Arecales; Arecaceae
Description: long non-coding RNA (EGUI_LNC031427)
Source: RNAcentral